GGGCCAUUAGCUCAAUCGGUGGAGCAGGACACUCUUAAUGUCAAGGUCGAAGGUUCGACUCCUUCAUGGCCCA
RNAcentral lists this transfer RNA (73 nucleotides) under Candidatus Omnitrophota bacterium. Its description in RNAcentral is "Candidatus Omnitrophica bacterium tRNA-Lys". It matches the Rfam family "tRNA". From Rfam's summary of the family: Transfer RNA (tRNA) molecules are approximately 80 nucleotides in length. Their secondary structure includes four short double-helical elements and three loops (D, anti-codon, and T loops). Further hydrogen bonds mediate the characteristic L-shaped molecular structure. tRNAs have two regions of fundamental functional importance: the anti-codon, which is responsible for specific mRNA codon recognition, and the 3' end, to which the tRNAs corresponding amino acid is attached (by aminoacyl-tRNA synthetases). tRNAs cope with the degeneracy of the genetic code in two manners: having more than one tRNA (with a specific anti-codon) for a particular amino acid; and 'wobble' base-pairing, i.e. permitting non-standard base-pairing at the 3rd anti-codon position. The record is from RNAcentral. Lineage: Bacteria; Pseudomonadati; Candidatus Omnitrophota.